Molecule: ribosomal RNA, 458 nt
Filed under: uncultured bacterium
Lineage: Bacteria
Description: partial 16S ribosomal RNA
Rfam family: Bacterial small subunit ribosomal RNA
Source: RNAcentral
CCUACGGGUGGCAGCAGUGAGGAAUAUUGGUCAAUGGGCGCGAGCCUGAACCAGCCAAGUCGCGUGAGGGAAGACGGUCCUAUGGAUUGUAAACCUCUUUUGUCGGGGAGCAAAAGACGCCACGCGUGGCUUUCCGAGAGUACCCGAAGAAAAAGCAUCGGCUAACUCCGUGCCAGCAGCCGCGGUAAUACGAAGGAUGCGAGCGUUAUCCGGAUUUAUUGGGUUUAAAGGGUGCGCAGGAGGAAGAUCAAGUCAGCGGUAAAAUUGAGAGGCUCAACCUCUUCGAGCUGUUGAACUGGUUUUCUUGAGUGAGUGAGAAGUAUGCGGAAUGCGAGGUGGAGCGGUGAAAUGCAUAGAUAUCACGCAGAACUGAGAUUGCGAAGGCAGCAUACCGGCGCUCAACUGACGCUCAUGCACGAAAGUGUGGGUAUCGAACAGGAUUAGAUACCCCAGUAGUC